RNAcentral lists this ribosomal RNA (497 nucleotides) under uncultured bacterium. RNAcentral describes it as "partial 16S ribosomal RNA". It matches the Rfam family "Bacterial small subunit ribosomal RNA", at positions 28 to 507 of the family's 1533-position model. The record is from RNAcentral.
GAUGAACGCUGGCGGCGUGCCUAAUACAUGCAAGUCGAGCGAACAGAUAAGGAGCUUGCUCCUUUGACGUUAGCGGCGGGCGGGUGAGUAACACGUGGGUAACCUACCUAUAAGACUGGGAUAACUUCGGGAAACCGGAGCUAAUACCGGAUAACAUUUGGAACCGCAUGGUUCUAAAGUGAAAGAUGGUUUUGCUAUCACUUAUAGAUGGACCCGCGCCGUAUUAGCUAGUUGGUAAGGUAACGGCUUACCAAGGCGACGAUACGUAGCCGACCUGAGAGGGUGAUCGGCCACACUGGAACUGAGACACGGUCCAGACUCCUACGGGAGGCAGCAGUAGGGAAUCUUCCGCAAUGGGCGAAAGCCUGACGGAGCAACGCCGCGUGAGUGAUGAAGGGUUUCGGCUCGUAAAACUCUGCUAUUAGGGAAGAACAAAUGUGUAAGUAACUGUGCACGUCUUGACGGUACCUAAUCAGAAAGCCACGGCUAACUACGUG